Mustela erminea (ermine) is the source of this 840-nucleotide long non-coding RNA. RefSeq lists it as uncharacterized. The record is from RefSeq and is a predicted model, not a curated record. NCBI's taxonomy places the organism in Eukaryota, Metazoa, Chordata, Mammalia, Carnivora, Mustelidae. The transcript has 5 exons.
UUAAAUGUCAUCAGACCUAGAAGAGAUGGGAGCACUUGGGUUCUGACUUUUACAAUGCCAAUGCCAAACCCACGCUUCUACUUUGGAGUCACUGUCUGUUGCCAUGACCUUCACACUCCAGCCUCAAAACAUUCUGAUGACUCACUCAGCUGAACACACCAUGAGCUAAGAAAAGUAAUGAAAGAUAUUUUUGCUGCAUUUUUUUCUGAUCCAUUGGAACAAUAGACGUCAUUUCCUCCCCAUGAAGAACCAAGUUCCUGCUGAGAUUUCUAAUGUGAGUUAUGUGAGUUCAGGUCUCUCCUCUUGAAAGCUCAUGCUCCUCACUGCUAACAUGGGUAUUGUCUACCCCAUAAGACCACCAAGAAGACUGAAUAUGGUACCAGACAACACUAAGACACUGUGAAUAAUGACCAGUGCUCAAGAAGGGGUAUAUAACCUGGAUAACCCACCAGUUUGACCAACAGAUAUCAAUGACAAGAGAACUUAUCAGGAUGGGGUUCUGGAAGUAUAAAGGGAGGUGACUUUCCUCUAGCUGACAACACUCCAAAGAGGGGAGCCGUAGUUAUGGCAACAGUGAGACCCUUCAAGUACUCUGAGAUGGACAAAGCAGUGAAGAAAAGAAAUUGUGGGUAGACACAUGUGGACUACUCCUUCGUGAUGACACUAUGGUGGGGGAUACCUCACAAGUGGUGAGCUGAGGCUGGGCGUCAGACUCAUGCCAUUAUUCUUUAUGAUUUGAACACUGAAAGUUAAAAAUGCAGUCAUUUGGAUCCUGGAACCCUUGAUGCUAGCAGCAUAUUGAUUAGAGAAAUUUUGUAAGUUUUGAAAUAAACUUUUACU